UCUGUUUUUUUUACUUUUAUAUUAAUCUGCUAAUAAAAUAAUGAAUUAAAAAUUAUAUGUUAUCUUUAAACCAAAAAAUCCUGAAACGGCGGUGACUUUUAAUCAAUCAAGUAAGAUAUAAUUAAAAAUCAUAUUACAUAAAUUACUCUAUUGUUGUACUUAUUACGUAUAGUCCUUUCGAUUUUUAUAUUUUAAAUUUGUCUUUCAGACAUCCAGCUUGAAUAUUGCAUAUAGAACAUAACAAAUAAUUUGAUUAACGUUAUUAAAAACAAAUCAAAUAAACCUACAUGUAAAAUUACAUCUACAGGCAACUCGAACGAAAUUUGAUUUAGGUGAUUAAUAGUCUGGUCCAAAAAGAUCCAUAUUAGAGCUAUUUCCAUUAACAAAACCAUGGCUUCAAUCCUUCAUUUUACGAGUUGUUAUAAAGAAGAAAAAUGUUUUAUAUUAUUUUAAAAUUUGUAAAUUAAAUACUAAAACUCAAAUAAUUUUAUAAUCCUAUGAUGGUGCUGAUCUCAUGACUGGAAAUUUAAUGGAGUCAAUUAAGAUUAAGAACUAAAUUUCCAUCUGCGAUUUUUAUUCAUUGUAUGGUUCAUAGAAUAAAUAUUUUGGUUACAGAUAGGUGCAAAAUUUUUAAAGAAACCUUAAUUUUUUUUCACAGGAUUAAGUAUAUACAUUCAAAAGGUAUAAUUUAU
This is a long non-coding RNA of Daktulosphaira vitifoliae (grape phylloxera), 692 nucleotides long. RefSeq lists it as uncharacterized. The transcript is spliced from 4 exons. The record is from RefSeq and is a predicted model, not a curated record. NCBI's taxonomy places the organism in Eukaryota, Metazoa, Arthropoda, Insecta, Hemiptera, Phylloxeridae.